AGGGGAGUAGCUCAAUUGGUAGAGCGUCGGUCUCCAAAACCGAAGGCUGGGGGUUCGAGCCCCUCCUCCCCUGCCA
This 76-nucleotide transfer RNA is filed under the name Hyphomicrobium sp. RNAcentral's name for it is "tRNA-Trp". It matches the Rfam family "tRNA". Rfam says of the family: Transfer RNA (tRNA) molecules are approximately 80 nucleotides in length. Lineage: Bacteria; Pseudomonadati; Pseudomonadota; Alphaproteobacteria; Hyphomicrobiales; Hyphomicrobiaceae. The record is from RNAcentral. RNAcentral also lists the same sequence under 2 other names.